RNAcentral lists this long non-coding RNA (379 nucleotides) under Malus domestica (apple). RNAcentral's name for it is "long non-coding RNA (MDOM_LNC008879)". Lineage: Eukaryota; Viridiplantae; Streptophyta; Magnoliopsida; Rosales; Rosaceae. The record is from RNAcentral.
UGCCAACGGGACUUUUACGGCAAGAAUAGACUUUCUCAACUUUCCUUUUCUUCGAGCCCCGACAAAUGGGUCAGCAACCAAUGAGUCUAUAUAACCAUUAAAAACCAUGAAUUUUUUUGUUAGUAACAUGAAUUGAUGUGUUUUAAAAACUUUAGUUAGAUUUACGAAAAUUUGAAGACAACGAAAAAAGAACAUGUGCAUCACAAAAAACAGAAUCAAAAUUAUUCAUUACUCUAGCAAAAUUAAUCAAAAUUUCAAAACACCGAUUUUCUUUUUAUCUCUUCGUGUUGCUUCUGGUGACAUGGGAAUCAAAGGAGGAUGGUGGUAUGUUGUUGAUGCGGUGAAUCAGAGAGCCAAAGUUCAUUGCCCGGAAAUUUUC